This 310-nucleotide ribosomal RNA is filed under the name Stuckenia filiformis. RNAcentral describes it as "partial 26S ribosomal RNA". Lineage: Eukaryota; Viridiplantae; Streptophyta; Magnoliopsida; Alismatales; Potamogetonaceae. The record is from RNAcentral.
GUGGGCGUCAAGUUACGUUGCUCUUUCACCCUCCUCGUGUUCAGUUUUCCUCUGGACCAAGGAUAAGGUGGUCGAAGCGGAGAUUGGCCUUCCAUUCCCUCCAAGGAAUGGUGGGUUGAAGUUCUAUCGCACCGGAAUUCGUGCAAGGUCAUGACGGUUGAAGUCUCGUAGUUCGGGACAUUUUCGUCCGCUACGUCUUACAUGUCAUCCUAGUCGAUCCGGUGUCGUAACUUCUGUCCAUGGUACAUUGUGGAUCCUACGCAACGUCGUAGGUUAGCUAUGCCUUGGCUCACUUUGCGACCCCACGUCA